RNAcentral lists this non-coding RNA (28 nucleotides) under Homo sapiens (human). The record is from RNAcentral. Lineage: Eukaryota; Metazoa; Chordata; Mammalia; Primates; Hominidae.
UCCCACAGCUCGGCCAAUUGUGUUGGUC